UAGGGAAUCUUCGGCAAUGGACGAAAGUCUGACCGAGCAACGCCGCGUGAGUGAAGAAGGUUUUCGGAUCGUAAAACUCUGUUGUUAGAGAAGAACAAGGACGUUAGUAACUGAACGUCCCCUGACGGUAUCUAACCAGAAAGCCACGGCUAACUACGUGCCAGCAGCCGCGGUAAUACGUAGGUGGCAAGCGUUGUCCGGAUUUAUUGGGCGUAAAGCGAGCGCAGGCGGUUUCUUAAGUCUGAUGUGAAAGCCCCCGGCUCAACCGGGGAGGGUAAUGGGAAACUGGGAGACUUGAGUGCAGAAGAGGAGAGUGGAAUUCCAUGUGUAGCGGUGAAAUGCGUAGAUAUAUGGAGGAACACCAGUGGCGAAGGCGGCUCUCUGGUCUGUAACUGACGCUGAGGAUAGAAAGCGUGGGGAGCAAACAGG
RNAcentral lists this ribosomal RNA (429 nucleotides) under Gemmatimonadota bacterium. RNAcentral describes it as "Gemmatimonadetes bacterium partial 16S ribosomal RNA". It matches the Rfam family "Bacterial small subunit ribosomal RNA", at positions 355 to 776 of the family's 1533-position model. Lineage: Bacteria; Pseudomonadati; Gemmatimonadota. The record is from RNAcentral.